Molecule: ribosomal RNA, 810 nt
Filed under: uncultured bacterium
Lineage: Bacteria
Description: bacterial SSU rRNA
Rfam family: Bacterial small subunit ribosomal RNA
Source: RNAcentral
CAAGUCGAACGCCCCGCAAGGGGAGUGGCGGACGGGUGAGUAACGCGUGGGAAUUUUCCUCAAGGUACGGAACAACUCAGGGAAACUUGGGCUAAUACCGUAUGAUGCAGCGAUGCCAAAGAUUUAUCGCCUUGGGAUAAGCCCGCGUCAGAUUAGGUAGUUGGUGGGGUAACGGCCUACCAAGCCUGCGAUCUGUAGCUGGUCUGAGAGGACGAUCAGCCACAUUGGGACUGAGACACGGCCCAAACUCCUACGGGAGGCAGCAGUGGGGAAUCUUGCGCAAUGGGCGAAAGCCUGACGCAGCCAUGCCGCGUGAAUGAUGAAGGUCUUAGGAUUGUAAAGUUCUUUAGCCUGUGACGAUGAUGACGGUAACAGGAGAAUAAGCCCCGGCUAACUUCGUGCCAGCAGCCGCGGUAAUACGAAGGGGGCUAGCGUUGUUCGGAAUUACUGGGCGUAAAGCGCGCGUAGGCGGUUUUACAAGCCAGAGGUGAAAUGCCUGAGCUUAACUUGGGAAUUGCCUUUGGAACUGUAUGACUUCGAGGACGAGAGAGGUGAGUGGAAUUCCCAGUGUAGAGGUGAAAUUCGUAGAUAUUGGGAAGAACACCGGUGGCGAAGGCGGCUCACUGGCUCGUUUCUGACGCUGCAGCGCGAAAGCGUGGGGAUCAAACAGGAUUAGAUACCCUGGUAGUCCACGCUGUAAACGAUGAGUGCUAGGCGUCGGCACGCUUGCGUGUCGGUGCCGCAGCUAACGCGUGGAGCACUCCGCCUGGGGAGUACGGUCGCAAGAUUAAAACUCAAAGGAAUUGACGG